RNAcentral lists this small RNA (300 nucleotides) under Histoplasma capsulatum. Its description in RNAcentral is "hypothetical RNA". RNAcentral also lists the same sequence under 1 other name. Lineage: Eukaryota; Fungi; Ascomycota; Eurotiomycetes; Onygenales; Ajellomycetaceae. The record is from RNAcentral.
CUAGCCUUUUAUUUUUGCUCUUUACAGCGUACUUCACUAAUUGGACCCCUGCGGUUAGUUAUCCCUAAUUAAAGAAUCAUUGUUUAUUGCAAUCGCCAACCGAGCAUCAGCCCUGUUUUGUCUGGGAUUAUUAUCAUCCGGAGUUUUUGUUCCAGAUUUCGGACUAGUUUGACGGAGGAUAUCAAUUUUUAGUAACUGUGAAAUGCUGGUUUGACAUUGGCAGUAUGUACUAUCUAUGCUGCGAUGAUGUCGGCUAUCGAUGAUGCAUUCUGCGCCCCCAAUUCUUAGGUGCAAGCAGUU